CAAAUGACUCUCGGCAAUGGAUAUCUCGGCUCUUGCAUCGAUGAAGAACGUAGUGAAAUGCGAUACUUGGUGUGAAUUGCAGAAUCUCGUGAACCAUUGAGUCUUUGAACGCAAGUUGUGCCCGAGGCCUUGUGGUCGAGGGCACGCCUGCUUGGGCGUCAUGAU
This 165-nucleotide ribosomal RNA is filed under the name Curcuma aeruginosa. RNAcentral's name for it is "5.8S ribosomal RNA". It matches the Rfam family "5.8S ribosomal RNA". From Rfam's summary of the family: 5.8S ribosomal RNA (5.8S rRNA) is a component of the large subunit of the eukaryotic ribosome. It is transcribed by RNA polymerase I as part of the 45S precursor that also contains 18S and 28S rRNA. The record is from RNAcentral. Lineage: Eukaryota; Viridiplantae; Streptophyta; Magnoliopsida; Zingiberales; Zingiberaceae.